This is a long non-coding RNA of Oryzias sinensis (Chinese medaka), 2088 nucleotides long. The record is from Ensembl. Lineage: Eukaryota; Metazoa; Chordata; Actinopteri; Beloniformes; Adrianichthyidae.
AUGUUGAUUAUUCAAUUAACUAACCGAACUGGUAAAGGAGACGCCAGUCUGUCCAUCUGGGGAUGGGGGGGUCUUGGAGUUGUGCUGUUUUUUGUCACCUUUGGACCUUUCGCCAUAUUUUACCUGGCAUUUUAUAUCUUCUGCUUCAUUGGAGGGGGAUUUGCGGUUACAUUGCUUUACGGGAAGAUAAACUCAGAGAAACACUUGGAAAAGUGCGAACAUUCAUACCUGCCACCUACACAACCCGGUAUUCUGAAGACACUUGAUGAGAUGAAGCUGGAGCUGAAGCCUAUAAAGAUUGACAGGAGACUGACUGGCUCCAGUUUCAUUGAUGAGCCACUACAGCAGGUGAUCCAGUUUGCACUGAGAGACUAUAUUCAGUACUGGUACUACACUCUGAGUGAAGAUGAGUCGUUCCUGUUGGAGAUCAGACAAACACUGCAGAAUGCCCUCAUCCAGUUCUCCACACGCUCAAAAGAAGUGGACUGGCAGCCUUACUUCACUACACGCCUGGUGGACGACUUUGCCACACAUCUACGUGUCUUCAGAAAAGCGCAGGAUCGCCUGGCUGAGCGGGAGGACAAGCAAAGGGACACCACAGAAGAGCUGGUCGACUCCUUCUUCGAGGCAGAGGUGGAGAUGGAGAGGAAGGUUUGUCGAGACAUGGUGUGCACCUCACACAAAGAUGAAGAAGGUUUUCUUCGGGACUUGUGCGAGUUGCUUCUCUAUCUUUUACUACCUCCCGGAGACUUCCACAACAAAAACAUGAGAUAUUUUUUGAGGGAAGUUCUAGCGUGUGGUGUGCUGCUGCCUCUGAUCAACCAGCUAAGCGACCCAGAUUACAUCAACCAGUUUGUCAUCUGGAUGAUUCGGGACUCCAGCUGUAACUAUGAAGCCUUCAUGAACAUUUUGAAGUUAACAGACAAGCCUACUGAGUUGGAGGCAGUUAAAGACAAGGUUCUGGAGGAGCUGCAGUACUUGCGCUCUCUGGACACUGCUGGAGAUGACUUUAUGCAGGCGGCGGGUGCUCAGGCGGAGCUGUUCUUCUGGCUCACUGUUGAGGGCUACAGGGUGACGGCCCAGCAGCAGCUGGAGGCCAUGCUGAGCUGCCAGAAAGACGGCAAGAAGCAGCCCAGCGCCACAAAGGGGCUGCUGAAAGCUGCUGCUCUAGGUGUUUAUGAACAAUACCUCUCUGAAAAGGCAUCUCCCAGGGUCCAAGUUGACAAAACAUUAAUAACAAAACUGGGGGAGAAGCUCCAAAAUGAUGACCCCACACCUGAAAUCUUUGAUGAAAUCCAGAGAAAGGUGUACGACAUGAUGCUACGUGAUGAGCGCUUUUACCCAGCCUUCAAGCAGAGCCCUCUGUACGUACGCAUGCUGGCAGAGCUGGACAUGCUGAAGGAGCCGAGCUACAGAGGAUCUGAUGACGGCGAGGGAGAAUCCUUUAACGGCUCACCCACUGGAAGCUUAAACCUGGUUAGUUGUCAACUCACCCUAAUUUUUUUUUAUACUGUGGAUGACAACAUCCCACUACGGGUGAUGCUGCUGCUGAUGGAUGAGGUGUUUGACCUCAAAGAGAAGAACCAGUGGCUGCGCCGGAACAUCAAGAACCUUCUGCAGCAGCUGAUUAGAGCCACUUAUGGAGACACUAUCAACAGGAAAAUUGUAGAUCAUGUAGACUACUUGACGUCACCAGAACAGGUGGCAGAAUAUGUGAAGAAGUUCAGGGACUCCUACUGGCCCAAUGGCAUUCUGGCUGAGAGCCCGCCCCGUCGGGACAAGAGCAUCCGCAUGAGGACGCGAGUGGCAGCAAAGACCAGCUUGUUGGGUAUCAUGCCAGAUGAACUGAAACACAUCAUUGGAGCAGAGACCACCAGAAAGGGGAUCCUCCGCGUCUUCGACAUGUUCCAGUACCAGCCCAUGAACCGGCGGCUGGUGUACGUGUUCCUGGAGGGCUUCCUGGAGACCAUGUUUCCGCAGUACAAAUUCCCCGAGCUCUUCGUGAAGCUGCAUUCCCGUUCUCCGCGCAUCCACAGAUACAACCAGAAACUCAAAUGCUCUUCUGCGAAGAGUCUUCAGUUUUUAUAG